RNAcentral lists this long non-coding RNA (404 nucleotides) under Physcomitrium patens. Its description in RNAcentral is "long non-coding RNA (PPAT_LNC002304)". The record is from RNAcentral. Lineage: Eukaryota; Viridiplantae; Streptophyta; Bryopsida; Funariales; Funariaceae.
GUAGAACUUGAGCUGAUGUGUCAAAAAAAGAGAAGCUUUUUGUCAUCUAUGCUAUAAUCAAGCUCCUUGGGAUUACUCAUGUUAUAUAUUUUUUAAAAUAUAUAAUAUUGAAAGACCUUAAAGAUAAAUUAUAUGUCUCUUAUUUCUUGCAAAUAGCACUAAAUGCUUGAUUACAAUGACAAUUCUUUAUAUAUUAUAGAAUAGAUAUUAUAGUAGAAGAUUUAGAAUUGAGACAAUUGUGUUUGCUCAACAAAGUAGAUAUUGUGGUAUUAAAGAUUAAAGCUAUUCUAUUUAAAGUAGAUACUAUAGUAUUUAGAAUCAAAGCAUUUUAUAAUGGAUUUUGUCAUGAAAACUUUAGGAUCAAAGGAGAUACAUUUAGUCAACAAAGUAGAUACUAAGGCAUU